This 465-nucleotide ribosomal RNA is filed under the name Vreelandella stevensii. Its description in RNAcentral is "partial 16S ribosomal RNA". It matches the Rfam family "Bacterial small subunit ribosomal RNA", at positions 338 to 795 of the family's 1533-position model. Lineage: Bacteria; Pseudomonadati; Pseudomonadota; Gammaproteobacteria; Oceanospirillales; Halomonadaceae. The record is from RNAcentral.
CCUACGGGUGGCUGCAGUGGGGAAUAUUGGACAAUGGGGGCAACCCUGAUCCAGCCAUGCCGCGUGUGUGAAGAAGGCCCUCGGGUUGUAAAGCACUUUCAGUGAGGAAGAACGCCUGGUGGUUAAUACCCAUCAGGAAAGACAUCACUCACAGAAGAAGCACCGGCUAACUCCGUGCCAGCAGCCGCGGUAAUACGGAGGGUGCGAGCGUUAAUCGGAAUUACUGGGCGUAAAGCGCGCGUAGGUGGCUUGAUAAGCCGGUUGUGAAAGCCCCGGGCUCAACCUGGGAACGGCAUCCGGAACUGUCAAGCUAGAGUGCAGGAGAGGAAGGUAGAAUUCCCGGUGUAGCGGUGAAAUGCGUAGAGAUCGGGAGGAAUACCAGUGGCGAAGGCGGCCUUCUGGACUGACACUGACACUGAGGUGCGAAAGCGCGGGUAGCAAACAGGAUUAGAUACCCGUGUAGUC